RNAcentral lists this ribosomal RNA (462 nucleotides) under uncultured bacterium. Its description in RNAcentral is "partial 16S ribosomal RNA". It matches the Rfam family "Bacterial small subunit ribosomal RNA", at positions 339 to 795 of the family's 1533-position model. The record is from RNAcentral.
CUACGGGAGGCAGCAGUAGGGAAUUUUCGGCAAUGGGGGAAACCCUGACCGAGCAAUGCCGCGUGAAUGAAGAAGGCCUUCGGGUUGUAAAGUUCUGUUAAUGGGAAAGAAUGGUUGGUGUGGGAAAUGACACUAAUUUGACGGUACCCGUUUAGAAAGCCCCGGCUAACUACGUGCCAGCAGCCGCGGUAAUACGUAGGGGGCGAGCGUUAUCCGGAAUUCUUGGGCGUAAAGAGUGCGGAGGCGGUUUAUUAAGUCAGUCGUAAAAGAUCUCAGCCUAACUGAGUAGGGCGAUUGAAACUGGUAGACUUGAGUAUGGUAGAGGUAGGUGGAAUUCCAUGUGUAGCGGUGGAAUGCGUAGAUAUAUGGAGGAACACCAAUGGCGAAGGCAGCUUACUGGGCCAGAACUGACGCUGAGGCACGAAAGCGUGGGGAGCAAACAGGAUUAGAACCCCCGUAGUC